GCGCAGCAAGCGCGAAACCUUUACACUGCACGACAGUGCGAUAGGGGGACUCCGAGUGCGAGGGCAUAUAGUCCUCGCUUUUCUGUACCGUAAGGUGGUACAGAAACAAGUGCUGGGCAAGACCGGUGCCAGCCGCCGCGGUAAUACCGGCAGCACAAGUGAUGGCCGAUAUUAUUGGGCCUGAAGCGUUCGUAGCUGGCCAGGCAAGUUCGUUGGGAAAUCCACGCGCUUAACGCGUGGGCGUCCAGCGAAAACUGUCUGGCUUGGGGCCGGAAGACUCGAGGGGUACGUCCGGGGUAGGAGUGAAAUCCCGUAAUCCUGGACGGACCGCCGGUGGCGAAAGCGCCUCGAGAGGACGGACCCGACAGUGAGGGACGAAAGCCAGGGUCUCGAACCGGAUUAGAUACCCGGGUAGUCCUGGCCGUAAACGAUGUCCGCUAGGUGUGGCGUAGGCUACGAGCCUGCGCUGUGCCGUAGGGAAGCCGUGAAGCGGACCGCCUGGGAAGUACGUCUGCAAGGAUGAAACUUAAAGGAAUUGGCGGGGGAGCACUACAACCGGAGGAGCCUGCGGUUUAAUUGGAGUCAACGCCGGG
RNAcentral lists this ribosomal RNA (593 nucleotides) under uncultured Halobacteria archaeon. RNAcentral describes it as "bacterial SSU rRNA". It matches the Rfam family "Archaeal small subunit ribosomal RNA", at positions 330 to 922 of the family's 1478-position model. Lineage: Archaea; Methanobacteriati; Methanobacteriota; Halobacteria. The record is from RNAcentral.